GAUGAACGCUGGCGGCGUGCCUAAUACAUGCAAGUCGAGCGAACAGACGAGGAGCUUGCUCCUUUGACGUUAGCGGCGGACGGGUGAGUAACACGUGGGUAACCUACCUAUAAGACUGGGAUAACUUCGGGACACCGGAGCUAAUACCGGAUAAUAUUUCGAACCGCAUGGUUCGAUAGUGAAAGAUGGCUUUGCUAUCACUUAUAGAUGGACCUGCUCCGUAUUAGCUAGUUGGUAAGGUAACGGCUUACCAAGGCAACGAUACGUAUCCGACCUGAGAGGGUGAUCGGCCACACUGGAACUGAGACACGGUCCAGACUCCUACGGGAGGCAGCAGUAGGGAAUCUUCCGCAAUGGGCGAAAGCCUGACGGAGCAACGCCGCGUGAGUGAUGAAGGUCUUCGGAUCGUAAAACUCUGUUAUUAGGGAAGAACAAACGUGUAAGUAACUGUGCACGUCUUGACGGUACCUAAUCAGAAAGCCACGGCUAACUACGUGCCAGCCGCCGCAGUAA
Molecule: ribosomal RNA, 513 nt
Filed under: uncultured bacterium
Lineage: Bacteria
Description: partial 16S ribosomal RNA
Rfam family: Bacterial small subunit ribosomal RNA
Source: RNAcentral